AUACGUAGGUGGCAAGCGUUAUCCGGAAUUAUUGGGCGUAAAGAGGGAGCAGGCGGCAGCAAGGGUCUGUGGUGAAAGCCUGAAGCUUAACUUCAGUAAGCCAUAGAAACCAGGCAGCUAGAGUGCAGGAGAGGAUCGUGGAAUUCCAUGUGUAGCGGUGAAAUGCGUAGAUAUAUGGAGGAACACCAGUGGCGAAGGCGACGAUCUGGCCUGAAACUGACGCUCAGUCCCGAAAGCGUGGGGAGCAAAUAGGAUUAGAUACCCUAGUAGUCCACGCCGUAAACGAUGAGUACUAAGUGUUGGAUGUCAAAGUUCAGUGCUGCAGUUAACGCAAUAAGUACUCCGCCUGAGUAGUACGUUCGCAAGAAUGAAACUCAAAGGAAUUGACGGGG
RNAcentral lists this ribosomal RNA (392 nucleotides) under uncultured bacterium. Its description in RNAcentral is "partial 16S ribosomal RNA". It matches the Rfam family "Bacterial small subunit ribosomal RNA", at positions 523 to 918 of the family's 1533-position model. The record is from RNAcentral.